AAAAGUCGUAAACAAAGGUUUUCCGUAGGGGUAUGUUUCAAAUUUUUUCCGAAAGGAAUCCAGCUAAACAUCCACAGUGAACCUGCGGAAGGAUCAUUACCGAGUUUUCCGAACAGGAACUCCCACCCUUGACCAUCCGACGUUGCUUCGGCGAGACGUUGGCAACAGCCGUUGGCGGAAGAUCAAUUCUGCCGGCGCGGGCUCGCCGGAGUUUAACUCCAAAAAUUUUGUACUGUCAGAUAAACAAGCAAUGAAAAAAA
RNAcentral lists this unclassified non-coding RNA (260 nucleotides) under plant metagenome. RNAcentral's name for it is "partial contains small subunit ribosomal RNA and internal transcribed spacer 1". The record is from RNAcentral.